This 509-nucleotide ribosomal RNA is filed under the name Mesovelia sp. 2276. RNAcentral describes it as "eukaryotic LSU rRNA". It matches the Rfam family "Eukaryotic large subunit ribosomal RNA", at positions 688 to 1139 of the family's 3401-position model. Lineage: Eukaryota; Metazoa; Arthropoda; Insecta; Hemiptera; Mesoveliidae. The record is from RNAcentral.
GAGUCAUUGGGCGCGAAAACCCAGAGGCGCAAUGAAAGUGAAGGGAGGGCUCCGCCCCUCCCCAGGGACGAUGGUCGGGCCCGCGAGGGACCGGCCCGCAGUCCCGAGGCGUCUGCCCGCCGAUCGCCGGUGGAGGCGCACUCAGAGCGUGCGCGCUGGGACCCGAAAGAUGGUGAACUAUGCCUGGCCAGGACGAAGCCAGGGGAAACCCUGGUGGAGGUCCGUAGCGAUUCUGACGUGCAAAUCGAUCGUUAGAGCUGGGUAUAGGGGCGAAAGACCAAUCGAACCUUCUAGUAGCUGGUUCCCGCCGAAGUUUCCCUCAGGAUAGCUGGCGUUCACGAGACCGCGAGUCUCAUCUGGUAAAGCGAAUGAUUAGAGGCCUUGGGGUCGAAACGACCUCAACCUAUUCUCAAACUUUAAAUGGAUGAGAACCCCGGCUUGCUUAAAGACACCCUUUUUUCGUGAAGCCGGGGCGCAGACGGAUCAGAGUGCCAAGUGGGCCAUUUUUG